UAAUACGUAGGGGGCAAGCGUUGUCCGGAUUUACUGGGCGUAAAGAGCGCGUAGGCGGAAAGUUAAGCGGGGCCGGAAAGCCCCCGGCUCAACCGGGGAAGGGGCCGUGAACUGGCUUUCUUGAGGGGGAGAGGGGAGAGCGGAAUUCCUGGUGUAGCGGUGAAAUGCGUAGAGAUCAGGAGGAACACCAAUGGCGAAGGCAGCUCUCUGGCUUCACCCUGACGCUGAGGCGCGAAAGCGUGGGGAGCGAACGGGAUUAGAUACCCCGGUAGUCCACGCCGUAAACGAUGGUCACUAGGUGUUUGCGGUAUCGACCCCGCAAGUGCCGUCGCUAACGCACUAAGUGACCCGCCUGGGGAGUACGGCCGCAAGGUUG
RNAcentral lists this ribosomal RNA (376 nucleotides) under uncultured bacterium. Its description in RNAcentral is "bacterial SSU rRNA". It matches the Rfam family "Bacterial small subunit ribosomal RNA", at positions 521 to 896 of the family's 1533-position model. The record is from RNAcentral.